RNAcentral lists this ribosomal RNA (499 nucleotides) under uncultured bacterium. Its description in RNAcentral is "bacterial SSU rRNA". It matches the Rfam family "Bacterial small subunit ribosomal RNA", at positions 791 to 1289 of the family's 1533-position model. The record is from RNAcentral.
UAGUCCACGCCGUAAACGAUGAGAGCUAGCCGUCGGUCAGCAUGCUGUUCGGUGGCGCAGCUAACGCAUUAAGCUCUCCGCCUGGGGAGUACGGUCGCAAGAUUAAAACUCAAAGAAAUUGACGGGGGCCCGCACAAGCGGUGGAGCAUGUGGUUUAAUUCGAUGCAACGCGAAGAACCUUACCAGGUCUUGACAUACAGAGAACUUUCCAGAGAUGGAUUGGUGCCUUCGGGAGCUCUGAUACAGGUGCUGCAUGGCUGUCGUCAGCUCGUGUCGUGAGAUGUUGGGUUAAGUCCCGUAACGAGCGCAACCCUUGUCCUUAGUUGCCAGCACGUAAUGGUGGGAACUCUAGGGAGACUGCCGGUGACAAACCGGAGGAAGGUGGGGGACGACGUCAAGUCAUCAUGGCCCUUACGACCUGGGCUACACACGUGCUACAAUGGCCAGUACAGAGGGCUGCAAAGCGGCGACGUGGAGCUAAUCCCUUAAAACUGGUCGU